This 40151-nucleotide long non-coding RNA is filed under the name Nicotiana tabacum (common tobacco). RNAcentral describes it as "long non-coding RNA (NTAB_LNC000221)". Lineage: Eukaryota; Viridiplantae; Streptophyta; Magnoliopsida; Solanales; Solanaceae. The record is from RNAcentral.
CCUGGUAACCUCCAGAAAAUUGGUGUUUAGUGGGAAACACCCAUGUAUAACACAAGUCAAAAAGCAAUAUUGACAAAAUCUCAUAUAUCUAUUCCCCAUUGUCCCACGUACCUGGGUGGUCAGGCAACUAUGCUGACAAACGAUAUACAAUCUCCCCUCAUUUCUAUGGUAAAAAAAGAGCGUUGUAAGUCAAAGUAACUAUCACCUUUAGCAACAUAUAAUUGAUAAAUUAUAACUUUAAUUUCUUUUUGGUUCGUUCUAAAAAGAAUGAACUCAUUUUAAAUUUGGAAACAAUUUAGAUUAAUUUUUCAAUUCUACCCUUUAUGAGAAAUUUUUAUAACAACACAAAUACUCCGGACCCCUUUUUUGACUUGUUUAGGACCACAAAUUCAAAAAGUCUUCAUUUUUUUUUCUUAAACUUCGUACUAAGUCAAACAUGUUUACAUAAAUUGUAACGGAGGAAUUAUCACUUUUGCUGCCAAGUCUCUACAUAAUGUUGGACCUUUUUGCAACUAAGUUCAGAUAGUUCCCUAAAAUAUUGAAAUAAGUGUGUUAUUUUGUGGCUUAUUGAAUUAUUUUCUUGUAUCUUUAGAAAACUCAUAAUCCCUAUAGGUUUAGGAAAAUCCAUUGUCCUAAUAGAUUUGGAAAAGGAAAACCUAUAGUUCUUGUCACAUUGAAAACUUUUCUCUUAUAGGUUUGAGACUAUUUGGGAUCAAUAUAUAAGAGUUGUAGUUAAGGAUUCUAUAUAUUGUAUUGUGUUUUUCUUCUCAUUCAUAGUGGAAAACUCUCUCUGUAUCUGCCCCGAAGAUUAGGUUUAGCCGAACCUCGUUAAAUCAUUGUGUUGAUUUUCCUUCUCUAUUUUCUUUGUGUGUGAUUGUGUGCUAGUUAACCCACGAUCUUCCGCAUCAAUUGGUAUCAGAGCAAGGUUCGAGUUUCUACAUAUAAUCUAGGGUUAAGAUGUCUUCAUUAUCUUCAACAAAAUACGAAGAAGAGAAAUUUGACGGGGGUUGUAGUUUUAGUCUAUGGAAAAUUAGGAUGAAAUCGUACCUGAUGUUACAAGGGUUAUAGAAGGCAAUUGAUGAGGAUUUUCUGAACAGACGACAGAGACAAAGAAGACAAACAUGAAGGAGAGGGCUUUGAGUGCGAUUUUCAUGAGCGUUACAGAUAGCGUUCUUCAGGAAAUUGCUGAAGAAACUUUUGCAGCAAUAGCAAGGAAGAAGCUGGAAGAUCUAUAAUUUAUGAAAUCGCUAACAAACCGUCUCUACUUUAAAAAGAGGUUAUAAAAUCUUCGUAUGAACGAAGGUACCCCUGUUAAAACUCACCUUGAUGAGUUUAAUUCAAUUAUAAUGGACCUGAAGAACGUGGAUAUCAAAAUUGAAAGUGAGAAUCAUGCCUUAAUUGUGUUAUGUUCUUUACCAUCGUCUUAUGAUACUUUUGUUGAUACGCUGCUAUAUGGGAAACACAACAUUUCACUAGAAGAUGUUAGUAAUGCACUAAAAUCUAAAGAGUUAAAAAAAGACUUUAACAGGAAAAACUUAACCGCCUAAUCAAAGUCUAGAGCAAGGAAGCAAAACUAUUAUGAGUACGAAGAGCAAGGACACUACAAGAGAGAUUGUCCUAAGUUGAAGGAGAAAAGAGUGAAGCAUAAAAUAGAUAAUUCAGAAUAUAUUGUUGACAUUGACAAUAAUUUUGAUGAUAGUGACUAUGUAAGGGAUGUAUGUGUUGUGAGUUCUAGUCAUGGGCAGAAUUCUUGGGUUCUUGAUUCUAGUGCUACUUUUCACUUGUGUCCACACAAGAAUUGGUUUACAACUUACAAGCAAAUGAGUGAGACUGUCUACAUGGAAGAUGAUAAUCCAUUACCGAUAGAGGGGAUUGGUCAUAGUAAAUUGAGAGUGUUCGAUGGAAUUAUCAGAAUCAUUGAGUGUUGGCAUGUUCCUUGGAUAAAGAUAAAUUGAUUUCUCUUUGGACUUUGGAUGAUCAAUAGUAUAAAUUUUACUCUGAGAAUGGAAUACUUAAAGUGUGUAAAGGCUCCAUGGUACUCAUGAAGGGUAAACUGCAUUAUAAAUUAUAUCAUCUCCAGGCCAGUGUAGUUGAAGGAAAAACUGCUGUAGCUUCUGGGAAUAGUGAUAUGAAUCAGUCUCAGUUAUGGCACUUGCGACUUGGUUAUAUGAGUGAGAAGGGAUUGUCUUUGUUGAGUAAUCAGAAUUUGCUAAAUGGGUACAAAAAUCAAAUUUUGAAUUUUUGUGAGCAUUGUUUCUUUGAUAAACAGACAAGAGUAAAAUUCAGCAAGAAGGUCGAGCACAAGACCAGAGACAAGUUAGAUUAUAUACAUUCAGACUUGUGGGGUCUAAACAGAGUUCCCUCCAAGAGUGGUGCUAGGUAUUUUAUGACUUUGAUUGAUGAUUACUCAAGGAUAGUGUGGGUGUAUUUUCUGAAAACAAAGAUGAGGCAUUUCCGACAUUUGUUAAAUAAAAGACGAUGGUUGAGAGACAGAUGGAAAGAAAAGUUAAGCGUCUUCGAACUGACAAUGGGUUAGAAAUUUGCAAUUCUGAGUUCGAUAAUUUCUGCAGUAGAGAGGGCAUAGUGAGUCAUCGCACUUUUGUUGGAACACCACAACAAAAUGGUAUUGCAGAACGUAUUGACAUAAUACUUUGUGAUAGGGCACAGAGCAUGCUUUCACACUCAUGUGUUAGCAAAGAAUUUUGGGCUGAAGCAAUCAACACAGCUUGUUAUUUGGUCAACAGAUCUCCAUCCACAGUUAUUGAGUUCAAAACUCCUUUUGAGGUAUGAUCCGAUUUGCCUGCUGAUUAUUCAAAUUUAAGGAUAUUUGGUUGUCCUGCUUAUGCUCAUGUGAGGGAUGGAAAAUUUGAGUCGAGGGUAAAUAAAUGCAUAUUUCUAGGGUAUGCAACUGGAGUGAAAGGUUAUAGGUUGUGGUGCACAGAUCAAAAGACUCCAGGGCUAAUUAUCAGUAGGGAUGUAACAUUCAAUGAAUCUGCCUCCCUGGACAGUCAGAGGGAGAAGGCAAUAGCGAAAACAGAUCAUGGUAUCAGUGACCGCAUAGAGCUAGAAAUUGAAUCUCCACUAGCUCAGCCCAGCAGUUCUAAGGUAGAGGAAGUGGAUGAGGUGCAAAUUAUUGAUCAAGAUGAUAUUUUUGAUGCACCUGCGCAACAGAAUCCAUAUAGAAUUUCAACAGGCAGAGAGAAGAGAGUGAUCAAUCAACCACAAAGGUUUACAAAUAUAGUUGAUGGGAAUCUUCUUGGAAAUACAAAUCUUGUGGGAUUUGCUUUGCCAGUUACAGAGACCAUUGAUGCGUUUGAGUCUUACAGCUAUCCAGAAGCUAUUUAGAGUACAAAACCAAAUCGACGAAUUAGUAAUAUGGCUAAAGAUAUUGAGUCUCAUAAUAAGUUUAGGCAUUGCCUAGACUUGGUUGAUGUGUGCAAUAAUUGGUAGAGCCCUCGUGAGGGCUGAAGGCAAGGUAGAGAGAUGUUGUUCCUGUUAAUGAAGAGAAUUCAAGCCAAGGGGAAGAUUUGUUAUUUUGUGGCUCGAAUUAUUUUCUUGUAUUUGUAGGAAACCCAUAAUCCCUAUAGGUUUAGGAAAAUCCAUUGUCCUAAAAGUUUUGGGAAAGGAAAACCUAUAGUCCUUGUCAAGUUGGGAAACAUUUCUCUUAUAGGUUUGAGACUAUUUGGGAUGUAUAUAUAGGGGUUAUAGUUGGGGAUUCUAUAGAUUGUAUUGUGCUUUUUUUCUCAUUCAUAGUGGAAAACUCUCUCUGCUUUUGCCCCGACGAUUAGACUUAGCCGAACCUCGUUCAAUCCUUGUGUUGAGUUUUCUUCUCUAUUUUCUUUGUGUGUGAUGGUGUGCUUAGUUAACUCACGAUCUUCCGCAAGAGAAUGAUUAUUGUUAAAUAAGUACACCUUUAAGGUACGUGGGACCGGGACAGGAAAAUAAGGGUUGAUCACAAAUACUAUUAAGGAGAUUCAAAAUAAUGCAAGAAUACUACAUAUGUGAUACAAUUCUACCAUUUAAAAUAAUUUUUCAACUGAACCUCCUUUGAGCCAUGUAGCUCCGCGUGGCAAAUGGAUGAAUAUUUUUUUUAUCUAGAUUUGAAUCAAAGAGCCACAAACACACGCUAUGAUUAAUUAUGCUUUAAGGGGUUAGUCCCUAUAAAGCAAGGAGAACUAAGCAUCACCAAGUCUCUUCAACAACAAAACCACUGCUCCUUAGCUUGCUUCAUAUUAUGUCAACAAUGAAACAUUCCAAAGCUUUUUCAUCACUGAGAACAAUUUGGUCCUUUUGGUUCCUUCUAGUAAUAUUGUCUAAUAAAGUAAAGUCCCAAGAACCAAAUGUGAUUCCACCAGCUGCAGGUUUACUUUGCAUAAGUGAUUGUGCUACAUGUCCUGUUAUUUGUUCAUCACCACCUUCACCAUUGGACUUCAAGCCACCACCAUCAUUACCACCACCACCACCACCACGGCCCCUCGUUCUCCAGUCAUCGCCACCGGAGUCGCAUUGUUCUGACGCAUCACCACCACCUUCACCGUCUAACAUUUUGUCGGUUGGUGCUACUACUACUCCGCCACCUCCUCCUUCUAAUUACUCCAACAUUCCAGCAACUCAGGCGCCACCAGCUAAGGGACAGAAGAAUUACACUUAUCCUUACUACGACUUCUAUGUUAUUUCCAAAGCAGAUUCUCUUCAACUUCACAGCUCUAUUGUUCUUGCGUUUUUGGUGUUCUUCCAUUCUUGUUGGUGAAUGAUUUAGACAGGUUCUUGAAACUAAAUCAAAAUGGUUUCUUUGUUUUUGCAUUCUAGGAUACUAAAACAUUGUUUUCGAUUGAUACCAUUAACUGUAUUUACGACAUUUUCAUGAAUUCAUCUUCUAGUUUUAGUACCGGAUAAUGACACAGUUUUGUACAUUUUUUUUUCUCGACCUCUGUAUUGCCAGUCUUGAAUCCCCAUUUGAUUGAAAUUGGGUGAAUGAUUUUUUGCUCUGUGAACAUAAGUAACAUUUUUUUUCAUCACCUAGACAAAGCUUCAAGUUUGAGGCUCUAGCCUCUAACCCGUGACUUCUACGUUAUGCUCUUCUAGAUGAGAUUUCGCUGUGACUUGUGAAUGGCUCUGUUUGUACAAAUUAGUACAUUUAACCGUUUUAAGCAACGCGAGAGUCCAGGUAAUUGACAAAAUUCUCUGUUUUCUCAGCUCCAAAAUUGCCUAAGAUCAAAUUUAUGGUACAGGUCCUAAAGCAGGUAAAAUAGAAUUAUGAUACAAGAUGUGAGUCGUCGGAUUAAAUUUGUACCUGUAACCAUCUAUCAUUAGUUGGAGAUUAUGUCUCUCAUCACAAGAUCGCAUCCUUGAGACACUUGCCACUUUAGUACCGUGAAUUUUUUCAUCGUCAUUGCCAAGUCAAGGACAACCUCUUCCUCGCAUUCAUUUCCAAGUGAGAAUUCUUAUUUUCAAAACAAUCAGGAUUAGGGGUGGCAAAACUAAUCCAAAUAUAUUUUACCUGUCCAAUCCGCCCAAGUUUUAAUAGAUUUGGGCUAAAAUAGUUUUGAAAAUGGGCUGUUAUGAGCUAGCCCAAGUUAACCCAUAAAAAAUCAUCGGCCCAAAUUGACCCAUGUUGUAGAAAAUAUUUUUUAAUUUUUUCAUGUUUGGUUGGUUUAAAUGUUUGUCGUGGUGGCACAAGGUCUUUGCCGUGCGAGUGUGAUUAUAAGAGCACGAGGUCUUUCUGUGAGGGCACAAGGUCUUUGCCGUGCGAGUGUGAUUAUGUGAGCACGAGGUUUUUGUCAUGCGAAUAUGAUGGAUAUUGGCAUGAGGUCUUUGCCGUGCGGGCACGAGAUCUUUGCCGUACGAGUGUGAAUAUGUGGCACAAGGUCUCUGCCGUGCGGGCAUGAGUCCUUGUUCGUGCAACUGUGAUUAUACGUGGCAUGCGGUCUUUGCCGUGCGAGUGUGAUUGAUAUUGGCACGAGGUAUUUGUCGUGCGAGUGUGAUUGAUAUUGGCACGAAGUAUUUGUGGUGCGAGUGUGAUUGAUAUUGGCAUGAUGUAUUUGCUGUGCGAGUGUGAUUAAUAUUGUGGCACGAGGUCUUUGCCGUGCGAGUGUGACUGAUAAUGUGGGUACGAGGUGCCAUAUGUAUACCUUUCUAGUUGAUGGCUUGUUGGUAAGUUGAGCCUUUACUUGCAUUGAAUUAUUAUCACUAGUUCUGAUGAAAUUACUGUUAUUAUUUUUCUGCUAUAUUUUUUGUUUUCCCUCUUUGAUAUAUUGCAAAGGUUAUUUGACUAGUAAGUAUCACAUGACUUGAACCUCGUCACUCCUUCACCGAGGUUAGUCUUGAUACUUACUGGGUAUCGACUGUGGUGUACUCAUACUACACUUCUACACCUUAUGUACAAAUCUUGGAGCUUGAUGUGAUGAGAGUAUUCCCCUUAUUUAGGAUGAGAUGAUUGCUAGCUGAAUGUGAUAUCGACCCACACGACAUUCUGGUGAGACGGCUUAGCCGAUCGGGAUGAGAUCGGAUGCCAUGCCACGCACAUGGUGGUGUUCUGAUUGGAUGUCUCUGAUGAGACGGCUUAGCCGAUCGGGCCGAAAUCGGACUCCAUGCCAAAAAUACGGUGGUAUAUCGGUACUAAAGAUCUCCCAACCUAAAAUAUAAAAAUUUACUUGAAUUGCUCCUAACUUGAUGUUUUGGUAUUGUUUGAGGUUUCCAUUGAUUCUAUGGUUGUUCUUUCUUGUAUUAUUACUCGUUCUAUUGAGAGGGUGUUUAGUCAUACAUACUAGUACUAUUCCAUAUGUACUAACGUCCCUUUUUUCGGGUGCGCUGCAUCUUUAAUAGAUGCAGGUGGUUCCACAACAGGCGAAAUUGAUCAGUGAUAGUGGUACACCCUCUUCCCAGCAGACUUGGUGAGCCCCGCUUUAUUUCGGGUUCGUGUAUCUUUUGUUCUUGUGUAUUACAUUUUGAGGUAUAGCCGGGGCCUUAUUGUCGGCAUUAUCAUAACACUCUUUGUAUCUAUUAGAGGCUCUGUAGACAUAGUGUGGGUUGUAUAUUGGUGCUGGGAAAGUCAAAUUAGUUGUGUUGUGUUUGAAUCACUUGUUCCACUUCAAACUAUGAAAAUGUGUGUAUUUUGAGACUUUAAAAUAAAAUAACUAAUGGUAAUGAAUUGGUGUUAUAUACAUGAUCUUCUCUUUGUCUAAUUAACGAAAAUAUAUCUUCUCAUUAUUCAUGGGUGAGUUUGGGUAGAAGGCAAUAUAGCAGGCUUGUUCGGUCGGAUUAUCUCGGUUGAGCGCCAGUUGCGCUCCCCGAGGUCGGGGCGUGACAGAUCUUGAAGGAGAUUUUCACACGAUUUUAACUCCAUUUUAAUAUUAUAUCUUGUUACAUCAUGAAUUUCUACACAUAGAUUAUGUGAUUUGAAAGAUAAAUUUUGGGGGUUGCAAACUAUGGUUGGGAGUGAAAAUUGGAGAUUUGGCGGCCGAUUUGAGGUCAUAUUUGGAUAAAACUUUUAUAUUUCUACUCGUAUUAAAAUGGGUAACCCGGAUGAGGGAGUUUGGUCGGGUUCCUGGAUGUGGGUUCGGGUUGACCUUUUGGUUGACUUUGUGUAUUUUUAUAAAGACUGAAGCUUUAUUGUUUGGGGUUGUUUCCUUUGGCAAGAUUCGAGCCGAUCGGAGGUUUAUUCGCAUGUGAAGGCAUUUUUGGAGUAUUAACUUGGCUGGUUUGAGGUAAGUAUCUUGCCUAAACUUGGUUGAGGCACAAGCUGGCAGAGUUAUUGGUGUUGACUAUGUGCUAAGGGUGGCAUACAUGUGAGGGGUUGAGCCUAUGUGUGUGCACCAGGUUUUAUUCAUGCUCGGGGAUAGUUCUUGGGCUAUAUUAUGCCUUGUAUUGAAUAUCUGUGAUUCUUAUCAUCAUGCUUUACAUGUUGUAUGACUACGUGACUUCAUGAAUUAUGUUAGAGAUUAUGUAUAGGUUAAUCUCAUGUUCAAACAUGAAAAUUACUAUUUUGUGGCGUAUCCGCCAAAUCUGAGCUGUAAUUGUACACUUCGCACAUGCAUACAAUUUCUUAGUCCAUGAAUACUUGAUUUGACGUUUGUAGACUAUAUACAUGUUUUCUUGUAUAUUCUUUCUGUGUUGUGGACUGGUUGACAGCCCGCAAGUUCUCCGUGCGGGUUGAGUUGAUUGUGGCACGUGAGUUGUCCAUGCAGUUAUUAUGUAACGUGAGUUGUCCAUGCAGCAUGUGGAUAAGGGUCCACCCCCCGAGGGUCGUCCUCUCUUGUUUCUCCUUGAUGACGUACAUGCGAUUUUGGAAAGCUUAUCAUUGUUGGGACUUUGUAUAUCCUCUCUAUAUGGAAAUUCCUUGGGUGUAUACAUGAUCUCACUGCAUAUCUCCUCUAUAUGCUGGCCUCGUACUUGUACACAUAUCUCUUUAUGCAUAUCUUCUCUUAUGCCACUUAUAUUAAGGAAAUGAUACCCAAUACAUAUCUUCUCUCUAUGUAUCUCUCUAUGAGAUCUGACUUGCCUUUUUCGCAUAUAUUCUCUAUAUGCCUGAACUUUUAUCCUAUUUAAUGUUCGUGCAUAUCUUCUCUAUGUGCACCAUGAGUUUACAUGCAAUUGUACAUAGAUUCUGGUAUUAUUACUUCGUAUUCAUAUGUAUUCAUGACUUGUACAGAUUUUGUCACGUGUGUAUAAUUUAUGAUCCUUGUGACUUCCUCCCCGAGGUUAGUCAUGAUACUUACGGAGUACAUGGGGUCGGUUGUACUCAUACUAUACUCUGUACGUAAUUGUGCAGAUCCAGGUGUGGGAGCCAACUGAGUGUUUCUUCUGGAUUGCUGUUGAGUUGAUGUGAGACGAGGUAGAGUUGCACUCGGUCCGCAGUCCUUGGCGUCUCUUUCCAUUUUUAUUACUGUUAUUAUUGCUCAGACAUUAUUUUUACAUUAUCACACUUGUAUUCCUGUUGUAGAGGUCAUGACUUUAUAUUUCAAGUUCUGGGGGAUUUAUUGUAGCAGUGCAGUCUUAUUUAUAGUAUUCGGCUUUUCGACUAAUAUUAUUUUCAUAAUUUGUUAUCUCGUAUCAUUUUUGUAAUGCUUGGCUUGCCUAGCAAGUGAGAUAUGCGCCAUCACGACCGGAUGAUAAUUUUGGGUCAUGACAAGUUAGUAUCAGAGCCCUAGGUUCAUAGGUUCACUAGGUCAUGAGCAAGUUAGUAGAGUAUUGCGAAUCGGUACGAAAAUGCCUGUAAUUAUCUUUGAGAGCCUACCAGGCUGUUAGGAAGUUUUCUCUUUCUUUCAUGCCAUAUCUUGUGAAUUUGUUUAUUCUGAAGUUUGAAUCUGUGCUCUUCUAUUCUAUCACAGAUGGUGAGGAUAUGAUCUGCCAAAUCAGCUAAGCAGGCACAAGUGCCUCAAGUCAGGGACCUGAAGGGCCAGGGCUGAGGGAGAGGCCGAGGUGUGGCACGUUCCGUAGCUAGAGCCCUAGCUAGAUUAGCUGCUAUGGAGCCACAAGUUGCUCUAAUGCCUGCUCUUCAGGAACUUUGGCUCAGAUUAUGAGUAUGUAUUCGAGCUUGGCCUAAGCGGGGAUGAUACUAGUUGUAUUAGCUACCUCACAGGCCAGGGUAAGCACAAACUCCCCCCGCCCGUACACCAUAACAACUAGCUUAUGGUUAUCUAACACUAGGGGUUCUGCCGGUACAGUCGGUCAUUGCAGCAAAGACCAAGAUUAGACCAUCUUUGACUGUUGAGGAGAAAAAGAGGUUGGGGAGAUUUCAGAGACUUCAUCCUCCCCAAUUUAGUGGAGGAGAUUCUGAGGAUUCAAAGGGUUUCCUUGAUCAGUGCCAGCGGAUUCUACACACUUUGGGUCUUCUGGACUCAAAAGGAGUUGACUUCACUACUUUCCAGCUAUCAGGGCCAGCCUAUAGGUGGUGGUAGAGCUAUGAGUCAGGCAGGCUAGCUGGCUCAUCACCACUUACAUGGCAUCAAUUCUCAGUUCUCUUCUUAGAGAAGUUUAUUUCACAGACUGGCAUAGAGGAGUUUCUAGGAUGUUUGAGCAUCUACACUAGGAGGGUAGGACCGUGACUUAGUAUGAGAUGAGGUUCACGAAGUUGACACGCCAUGCAUGGUUCUUGAUCCCUACUGAGUGGGAGAGGGUUAAGAGGUUCAUUGAGGGCUUCAACUUUGGUAUCCAGUAUGGGAUGGCCCGGGAGGACGAAGCUGAUACUACUUUUCUUCAGGCUAUUGAGAUUUCGAGGCACUUGGAGUAGAUUCGCAAGCAAGAGAGAGAUGAGCGACACUCCAAGAGGGCAUGUGGUUCAAGUACUUUUAGUGGUGCCUCAUCUGGAGGCCAAUGACAUCACAGUAGAGGCCGUCCUUUCAGGACUGUUCAGUCAGCUCAGGAGGUUCAUUGUGGUUCUUCAAUCAGCCACCCAGUAUUAGAGAUGGAAGAAACAACAUAAGAUUCAUUAAAAGGUUCUUCAGUGCAUGCGCUUUAGGUUGAGGUACUUUUGGGUUUAGCAGUCUAUGUGGCUUGGUUGAUUUAGAGGGAUUCGGUCCUGAUGGAUUGGUUAUACACAAAUGGGUAUCACAGAGGUCAUGAUUACUUGGAUACUUCGUCGGAUACUUCUUUGUAUUAUAUAUGCUAUUGAGCUACACUUGUUAUGUGAUAAUUCUUUUGACUUAAAAACCUCAUCACCACUUCUCUGAGCGAUAUGGGUUGAGUUCCCGACACCAAAUCAAUUUAAAAAUCAAUAUCCCAAUCGGGUGGCAUUUCUAGUAGAUUUGUAGGAAUACAUCUGGAAACUCCCUCACUACUGGAGCAGACUCAACAGUAGGAGUAUUAGCACUAAUAUCUCUCACAAAGGCUAGACACGCCAAGCACCCCUUCUUAACCAUCAUUUUAGCCUUAAAAAACAACAUCACACUACCAGGAGUGUGACCAAGUGAACCCCUCCAAUCUAACCUUGGUAACACCUGCAUAGCUAACGUCAUAGUCUUAGCGUAACAAUCAAGACUAGCAUGAUACGAUGAUAAAUAAUCCAUCCCCAAAAUCACAUCAAAGUCAACCAUAUUAAGCAAAAGAAGAUCAACCUUAAUCUCAUUCACGUUUUGUUUACUUAGAACAUGCCAAAAGAAGCAAGAUUAGCUUGAAAUCAGGGCUUCAGAUAUUCCUAAGACUGUUUUCAAGACCCCUUACGGGCAUUAUGAGUUCUUGAUGAUGACAUUUGACUUGACUAAUACUCUAACAACAUUCAUGUAUUUGAUAAACAGUAUGUUCCAACCUUAUUUAGAUUUCAUCGUUAUUGUUUUUAUUGAUAAUAUAUUGGUGUAUUCCAGCAGUACAGAGGAGCACAAGCAACAUUUGAGGGUUGUACUAUAGAUUUUUGGGAGAAUGAGUUAUAUGGCAAUUUCUCUAAGUGUGCGUUCUGGAUGGAUUCAGUGGCGUUCUUGGGCCUUGUGGUAUCCAGUGAGGGGAUUAAGGUUGAUUCAAAGAAGAUUCAAGAAAUACUGAGUUGGCCCAGACCUUCUACCUCUACCGAUAUCCAGAGUUUCCUAGGGUUGGUUGGGUUAUCGCCAUUUUGUGGAGGGGUUUUAAUCCAUUGUAGGCCCAUCGACUAAAUUGAACCAAAAGGGUGCUCCAUUUAGGUGGUCCGACGAGUGUGAGGAGAGCUUUCAGAAGGUCAAGACGGCCUUGACUACAACUCCGGUUUUGGUUUUGCCUUUGAAAUUGGGAUCAUAUAUAGUUUAUUGUGAUGUUUCACGGAUUGGUCUUGGGUGUGUGUUGGUGUAGGCCGGUAGAGUGAUUGCCUAUGUGUCGCACCAGUUGAAGCCCCAUAAGAAGAACUAUCUAAUCCAUGAUUUGGAGUUGGCAGCUAUUAUGCAUGUGCUCAAGAUUUGAAGUCAUUAUCUUUAUGGCAUGUCUUGUGAGGUGUAUACAAAUCAUCAGAGUCUCCAACAUCUGUUUAAAUAGAGAGAUUUUAAUUUUAGGCAGCAAAUAUGGUUAGAGUUGUUGAAGGAUUAUGAUAUCACUAUUCUUUAUCAUAUGUGGAAGGCUAAUGUGGUAGCAGACACCUUUAGCAAAAAGGCGCAGAGUAUAGGAAGUUUAGCAUCCAUUCCUGCUGGGGAGAGUCCUUUAGCUAUGUAUGUUCAGGCGUUGGCCAAUAGAUUGGUGAUUGGAUAUUUCGGAGCCGAGUAGAGUCCUUGCUUGUGUUAUUUCAUAAUCAUCUUUGUUUGAGUGCAUUAAGGCUCGCCAAUAUGAUGAUCCUCACUUGCUUAUCCUUAAGGACACGGUGCAGCACAAUGGUGCUAAGGAGAUGACUAUUGGUAAAGAUUGUAUAUUGCAACUUUAGGGUUGCAUUUGUGUUCCUAAUGUUGAUGGCUUGAGAGAGUUAAUUCUCGAGGAGGGUCAUAGUUCGAAGUAUCCUAUUCAUCCAGGUGCUAGGAAGUUGUAUCGUGAUUUAAAGCAGCAUUAUUGGUGUAGAAGGAUGAAAAAAGGACAUUGUUGGGCAUGCUGCAUGCUGGGUUUAAUUGUCAGAAAGUACGAGCAUCAGAGACCGGGUAAUUUGCUUCAAAAAGUUAAUAUACCGGAGUGGAAGUGAGAGCGUAUCACUAUGGACUUCAUGGUGGGACUGCCACUGACUUUGAGGAAGUUUGAUGCCAUUUGGGUCAUUAUGGAUCGGUUGACCAAAUUAACACAUUUCAUUCCUGUCAUGACUUUCUACACUUCAGAGUAGUUGGCUAACAUUUACAUCCGAGAGAUUGUUCACUUGCAUGGUGUACCUGUCUCUAUAAUCUCGUAUCGCGACACUAAGUUUAUCUCGUAUUUUUGGAGACCUGUGCAGCGCGAGUUGGGCAUGCAUGUUGAGUUAAGUAUAAUAUUUAACCCUCAGACAUACGGGCUGUUCGAGCGGACUAUUGAGAUCUUGGAGGAUAUGUUGAGGGCCUGCAUUAUUGAUUUUGAAGGCUAGAAAGAUCAUUUUCUACCAUUAGUGGAGUUUGCAUAUAAUAAUAGCUGCUAGUCUAGUAUUGAAAUGGCUUAGCACGAAGCCUUUUAUGGGAGGUGAUGUCAUUCUCCGGUUGGUUGGUUUGAGCUUAAUGAGACUAGAUUAUUGGGCAAAUAUUUGGUUCGAGAUGCUUUGAAAAAAGUGAAGUUAAUUCCGGAGAGGCUCCACACCGCACGUUCCAGGCAGAAGAGUUAUGCUGAUAGGAAGGCUCAUGAUGUGGCCUUCAUAUGCGGCACUUAGUUUACCUCAUAUUUUUGGGGAGGUGGCUGUGCAGGUGCGGAGGUUGGGCAUGCUAAGNNNNNNNNNNNNNNNNNNNNNNNNNAGUUGGGCAUGCAAGUUGAGUUGAGUACAUCAUUUCCACUCCGUCCUGACAGACGGGCUGUUCGAGCGGACCAUUCAUAUCUUUGAGGAUAUGUUGAGGGCCUACAUUAUUGAUUUUAGAGGCCAGUGGGAUCGAGCUCUACCAUUAGAGGAGUUUGAAUAUAACAACAACUAUCAGUCUAGUAUCGAGAUGGCUUAGUAUGAGGCCUUAGGCUUUAUGUGGGAGGCGAUGUCAUUCUUCGAUUGAUUGGUUUAAGCCUAUGGAGACUAGAUUAUUUGGCAAAGAUUUAGUUCGAGAUGCUUUGGAAAAAGUAAAGAUGAUUCAGGAGAGGCUCCGCACAAUACAAGAAGAAGAGUUAUGCUGAUAGGAAGGCUCGUGAUGUGGCAUUCAUGGUGGGCGAAAAGGGCAAGUUGAAUCCUCGUUAUAUUGGCUUAUUUGAGGUCUUGGAGAAAGUUGGUGAGUUGGCUUACAUGCUUGCCUUGCCACCUAGCUAGUCGAGAGUUCAUAUGGUGUUCCAUGUUUUCAUGCUUUGGAAGUACUAUGAGGAUCUGUCACAUGUGUUGGAUUCAGCUCGGUGUAGUUGGACAAGGAUUUGACUUAUGAUAAGGAUCCAGUUGGCAUUUUGGAUAUGUAGGUUGGGAAGGUGAGAUUAAAAGACAUUACAUCAAUAAAGGUUCAGUGGAGGGGUCAACCAGUCAAGGAGGCGACUUAGGAGACAAAGCAUAACAUGCAGAGUAGAUAUCCUCACCUUUUUUGCAUUUUAGGUAUGGAUCUAAACUCGUUCAAGGAUGAACAUUUAUUUAAGAGGGGGAGAAUGUAGUGACCCAGCUAGUUGUUUUGUGUAUUUUAACCCCGUUCCCUAAUUUGAUGUUCCCCGUAUGUGUAUUUGAUAUUUUGGUGACUUGCGAGGAUGGUUGCUAUGAUUUCGAGAAGGUUUUGGAGUGAACUGAAAUACUUAGUUUCAUGGAUGGAAGUUUAAGUUAUAAGAGUUGACCAAGGUUUGACUUUUUUGAAAACGAUCUCGAAUUCAUGUUUUGAUAUUUUCAAUAGGUUUGUAUGGUUAUUUUUGACUUAGGCGUAUAUCCGGAUAUGGAUUUGGAGGUUCCUAUGUUGAUUAGUCUUGUGGUGUUUAGGCAUCAAGAUCGCGGGCUGGGGGGCGACGCUUGCGAAGGGUACCACUGGAUAGAAGUAUAAGUGAUGUAAUUUCGGGACAUAGACCAAUUAUUCCAUAUUUUGAGCUUUAGACUUGGAGAGGGUUAAUAUUUGAAGGGGAUUUUCACACAAGGCAAGAGUGUAAAUAAUUUCUACUCGAUUUUGAUAUUAUAUCGUGUUUACCCAUGAUUUUUACACAUCGAUUAUAUGAUUUGAAAGAUAAAUUUAGGGGUUCUGACUAUGAUUUUGGAGAGUGUAAUUGGAGAUUUGGGGGCCGAUUUGAGGACAGAUUUGGAUAAAACUUGUAUAUUUGGACUCGUAUUGGAAUGGGUAACAGGGAUUUGUGAGUUUGGUAGGGUUCUGGGAUGCGGACCUAGGGUGACAUUUUUGUUGACUUUGUUUAUUUGUAUAAAGAUUGAAGCUUUAUUGUUUGGAGUCAUUUUCGUUGGCUUUAUUUGAUGUUAUUGAGUUGUUUUUGUCUUGAUUCAAGCCGUUCGUAGGUCGAUUUGCGUGGGAAGGAAUUUUUAGAGUAUUGACAUCGCUAGUUUGAGGUAAGUAUCUUGUCUAAACUUGGUUGAGGCACUAGUUGCCGAAGUUAUUGAUGUUGUCUACAAGCUAAGUGUGGUGUACAUGCGAGGGGUUGAGCCCAUGUGUGCGCAUCGGGUUUUAUUCAUUCUCGGGGUAGUUCUUAGGCUAUAUUAUGCCAUCUAUUGAAUAUUUGUGAUUCUUACCACUAUGCUUUACAUGUUGUAUGACUACGACCUUAGAUCUUUGCUUGUUUCAUGGUAUGGACCAAAGCAAAGGUUCUGCUGCUUUCGACACCUACCCAAUUAACCAAAAGUAUAAUCGAUCGAGACUGAAGCUUCUAUAAUUGUAGAAUUCCAUUCAAAUAGAAAGCUUUUUGGCCAGUUCCAAGUCAGUCGUGAGCUGUAGGAAGAGAUAGUAGCGAACCAGAAGAAAUUCCCAUAGUUGCAUAAGGGGGACAUUGAAAACAUUCCAAUAGAUAGUAUGUAAUACUCUUAUCAAAAGAGCACAUUACUCUUUCUUAGUUUAGGGCAGAAACAUACUCAAGGAACGCUCACUUCGUGAAUCAUGUUCGAGAUUUUGUAUAGCUUAGUCACAUGUUCAAAUGUAAAAAUUGCUAUUUUGUGGCGUAUCCGCCUUAUCUGAGCUGUAAUUGUACACUUCGCACAUGCAUACACUUUAGCAUGUUAUUUUAUCAAUCCAGGAGUACUUGAUUUAAUGUUCAAUGACUAUAUACAUGUAUUCUUACAUAUGUUUUUUGUGCUUUAGACUAGUUUGGCAUGAUUUGAGUUAUUCGUGCGGGUUGAGUUGAUUCUGGCACGUGAGUUAUCCGUACGAUUCUCAUGGCACAUGAGUUAUCCGUGCAAUGUGUGGAUAAGGAUCUAUCCCCAUAGGGCCGUCCUCUCAUGUUUCUCCUUGAUGACGUACAAUGUUGAGGCUUUGUAUAUCUUCUCUAUAUGCAAAUUCUUUAGGUGUAUACAUGAUUUUACUACAUAUCUCUUCUAUAUACUAGCCCUAUACUUGUAUACAUGACUCUGUAUGCAUCUCUUCUCUAUAUGUCACUUCUAUUAAGAAAAUGAUAUACAAUACAUUUCUUCUUUUUACGUCUCUCUUUGUGUGAUCUGACUUGCCUUUUUCGCAUAUUUCCUCUAUAUGCUGAACGAUUAUCAUGUUUAAUGUUCGUGCAUAUCAUCUAUAUGUGCAACAUGAGUUUACUUGCAGUUGUAUCUAUAUUCUUGUAUUGUUACUGCCUAUUCGUAUGAAUUCAUGAAUUGUAUAGAUUUUAUCACAUGAGUAUCAUUGAUGUUUCUUACAACUUCCUUUCCGAGGUUAGUUCUGAUACUUAUGGAGUACAUGGGGUCGGUUGUACUCAUACUACACUCUACACUUAAUUGUGCAAAUCCAGACCAGGACUCAGUUGAGUGAUUUUUUUGAAUUGCUGUUGAGUUGACGAGAGACGAGGUAGAGCUGCACUUCGUUCAUAGACCUUGACGUCUCUUUCCAACUUAUAAGUUGGUAUUUUACCAACUUAUCUCUUCUUUAGUCUUAUAUUUUUGCUAUGUUUGAUUGAUAAAAUAGUGCAAUUAAUGUUGUUACUUCUAUUUUAGGUUUAUGAGAUUUAGAAGUGAUCGGCAAAGAAACCAAGUGAAAACAAGUCAAAAAGAAGUUAAAAUGAAGAAAAUUGGAGAAAGGCCCAGAUCUCGCAAAUGCAAACCAGGCUUCGCAAAUACGAAGUCAAGUGUGGUAGUCAAUGUUCACAAAUGUGAACUGAUGGAUUGCAAAUGGUACGUCUAGAGACAAAGGCAUAGAUCACCAUUGCGAAUGAAGGACCCCAAAUGCGAAGUCAACCAGAGAGUCAACAUUUGCAAAUGCGGACUCCAUCAUCACAAUUGCGAAUACAUGUGAAGGAGUCUAAGAUCUUAAAAGCGAAGUAUGCAUCGCAAAUGCGAUGGUCAACAGUAGAGUCUAGGUUCGAAAAUGCGAAGCUUUCUUUGCAAAUGCGAACCACGGUCUUCAGUUCAGGGCAGAGAUGUAAUUUCACAUUUCAUGGAUCCCAAACCAACAAAUACAGGACCUAUAGCUAAUUUAGGAAGAGAUAUUUGCAAUAUUUGGUAGAUUUUACAAGCUUUGGUGCUCAGGUUUCUUACACCACACAUGGGAGUUGAAGAUUUGAAGAUUUGAAGAUUUUGGAUGAGAUUUUCUUACCUUUUUUACUCAUUUCUUCAAUUCCUUGAUUUGUAUUGAAUAUAUAAGUGUGUAAUAUUUAUUUCAAUACUUAAAUCUCCUUUAUGGGAAUAUUCAUUAUUAAAGUUUGGAUAAAAACUCUUGUUAUGCUUAUGUAUUGGAUGAUUUUUAUUAAUUAUGAAGUGAGUUAUUGUUUAUUUAAUUAUUUUUGUUCUUUAAUAUUUCCAAAGGGAUUAGCUAACCCUAGGACUCACCCAUUAACAUCAAAUUAAAUGUUGGAAAAGGCAAACUUGGGGUUGGGAAAGAUUAAUUAACAAGAACUUGAGGCGUUAACCCUCACAUUAUAGAUUCUACCUAGGGAUAGAAUUGAACUAGUUGUAGCCACAUUCGGGUGCACUUAAUCCUCUUAAUUGUUUUAGAGAUAAUUCAAUUAGGAAGUCUUGUUAGUCUUCGGAAGAAGUUAAUAUAGGAUCAUUAUUCGAGGCUAAUUGACAUAAUUCGCUCAUAUUUAUAAAAUCGUGAAAUACAUUGGAUCGUUACUUGAGUAUAAUUUCCCUUUUAUCGAUGCUUGUAGCCAUUUAUCAUUUUACUCGCUUUCUAGGUUAGUUCACAUUAGUUAUAAAUAUUUUCUAAAAAAUACAUAUUAGUGUCUGGCUUAGCAUAAUAAGCGAUAAUUCUCUUACUUGCCUAAUCGCCUACAUACUGUUCCAUGUGGGAUUCGACCCCGACUCUUAGUUGGGUAUAUUAUAUUGCAUGCGACCUUAUCUACCUACUCUUUAAGGAGAGGAUUUGGACGUCAUCAAAAUUGGUGCCGUUGCCGGGGAACAAUUUGGCGCAUUUAAGUUGUUUGAGAAGUAAGAGUAUGUGCUUUGGUCCAAACUUGUGAAUAUUUAUAUAGUUACUUUUUCUUAUCUUUGCUUAUUUUCUUGUGUGUUGUUUUGUUUAUUCUCUUAGUUUUUGAAACUGGCAUCGCAUAAUGAAGAUUGGUCAGAUGGUAGUUGUUCAUACUUUGAUGAUCCUUGUCCUUAUUGUGGAGGACCACACUCAUGGAAAAAUUAUUUAAAUUCUCCCAUGGGCAGAUUACGCGCACAAUCUCAAACCUAUGAGUGAAGUAUAUGUGAUAGGUGUGGUGGUCAAAAUGGCCAUUUCGGAAAUUGUUCUUGUUUAUUCUAUCCUUCCCCUAACCCCCACUACGAUGAUUCUAUUUUUGGUCUUGACAUUUAUAGGGCUUUGAAAGUGGAAGAACAUGAUCAUGGGCAAAACGGAAAGUUCAAACUCAUGAUGAAGUGUCUACUUGAAGAUGGAAAUAAAGAGCAAAAAGCAUUCGAGGAGAUCUUGGAAAGUAGUCUAUAAAAUGGUUUGGAGCUUGAAUCAAGAAUUUAACAUCCGCCAACUAACUCCAUACUUGUUGGUGAUGCCGAGAAAAAAAUGGAAUUAGUGUCAACUGGCGUAAUUGAAAAGAUGGUUGAAAUUGACUCAGUUCGGGGGAAAAGAGGAUGUCAAAAUCCAAAAAAGUUGCAAGUUGAGAGGUUGUGAUCUUAUUCUAAGCAUUUUUCAACUUUGAAAUUUUAUGGUGAUAUGAGAAUUGAUCUAUGUGAAUCCAUGUGGAAGUGAAAAUAAUAAAUACAAGAGCCAUAGAUCAUGCAAUUUGAAAGUUCAAGAAGGCAAAAUGACAUUCCUCAAAAGAAAUCCGAGAAAUAAAAAUGAAGAAAUCGAUGUUUGGCUUGAACAUCUACAUACCCCCCCCCCCCCCGCCGCUCGUUGUCAUAAACUUGAGUCCAAGUUAGGUGCCCAAUUCACAUCCUCCAAGUGGAGAGAAAAUGUAGCGCUUGGUGGGAGGCAAUCCAUCAUUUUUUAAAUUUCUUAGUAAUUUUCAAUUUUUCAUUAUGUUUAUUUUAUUUUUCUUUUUAAUUUUUUUUGAUCAAUAUAUCAAGUUUUAGGAAGUUUAAAAAUGUUUGGGAGAACAAGUAGGGAGAUUGAGCAAUGAGAAAAAAUCAGGUCCAGGCCACAGUCACCGCAUUUGUGAACACAAGAUCGCAAUUGCAAGCUAUUGGCUUAUUGCAAAAUCGAAAAUUGAGUUGCAUUUGUGAUCUCUGCUAAUUUUUCAAUACUCGCAAUUGCGAGCACAUGGCCGCAAUUUCUACGUCAGGGGACUUAAAUGGGAAAUGUUCAACAACUUGAACAACAGUUCAAAGAAAUCUUUUGCUCUCAAGUGAAUGACUUUUGCCUUCCUCUUUCUCCCAACUCUCAAAUUCCUUCAUUUUUAAUCUUAUUUGCAAGCAUUAAAGGUAUGAAAGAUUAAUUUUUAUGCUCUUUAUGAUUUGUAAUUCAUCAUCAUCAUCAUCAUCAUCAUCAUCAUCAUCUUCUUCUUCUUCUUCUUCUUGAAAAUGGAAAAGUCUGCAUACCCAUAACUAAGCUAAAAUAGAGUGAUUUAGUCAUGUCUUCAAUAUGUUCGAUGAAAGAUCCAAAUGAAAUUCUUGACCAAAUCAGUAAAUUUUCUUUGAUUCAAAAUUAUCUAUGUGAUGUAUUGCAUGUUAUCGUGUCUAAAAGUUGAUGGGAAUCUAUAAAAGUACGACUUUGCUAAAAAAUUAUUUGGAGUUAAAAAUGUUCUAUGUUGAAAGGCUGUGGGGAACGACGGCAUCACGAUUGCGAUAACCUUUUCGUAUUUGUGACUUUUGGAUUUGCGAAGAGGAGAUUGCAAUUGCGAAUACCAACAUAUCUGGCAACCUUCGCCUUUUCGAAUAUGAAAUCACAAUUGUGACUACUGGAAAUUCUACAGCCUUCGCAUUUGUGAAGUAGAUCUCACAAUUGCAACCUCAGAGGCCUAACGUCUGCUAACCUGAAAAAAUUGAUUUUUUUUCUAAGGUUGGGUUUCAACUGUCCAAUCAUUUCCUUACCAUAUUUGACUCAUUUUGCAUUGUAUUUCAUACACAUAUCAAGUUUUCACUUAGAUACUUUGUUUGCAGGUACUAUAAGCUGAAAAUGAGCUCUAACUUCAUUGAAUCCGUGCAUUAAACACUUUGGAAAUUGAGGAGUAUUUUGAACAACACCGGUUCUUAUCACUGUAAUGCCAGCAACAAUACUAUGCCAAUUGGCUUCAAAGAAGUUUCUUAUAGAAAGCAAGAUGAAAUUGGAGAAGGUCUCCGAACUUCUACCCGAGUAUUAUCAAAGGCUUGAGGUUAUGGGAUAGACUUGUUUUGCCCCUCAACUUUGUAAUGCAAAUGAAUUGUGCUCCAGGCAAUUGGUUGGUCUCCAAAUUAUGCUCGGGGUAAGGAUGUGCCAUGGGAGGAUGAGAAGAAAGGCAUCACAUCCAAAGCAGUUUUUGCCGAGACAAAGAUAUUGAUGGCCAUCAUUUGCAGUCGCAUCUCUCCUACUAGGAAUAUAUGAAAUGUACCAAUAUUGAGAGAUGAUAUGAUCGCUUCCAUUCUUGAUGAUAUCAAUAUCAACAUUGGUCAGAUUUUCAUCAAUGAGCCGAGGGAGUAUCUGGUACAUGAGAUUCAAUCACUGAUAUUCCCAUCUCUUAUCAAUGAGUUGUACAAAUUUACAGGGGUUAAGGAGGAUCCUGAAGAAAAUUGGAUUGAUCUGGAGAAGCCUUUUGCUCCAUUGAAGAAAAGAGGAGAGGGUAGUGCCAUGAAAAGCAAAAACAGGAAAUUGGGAUCAUCUUCUCAGACUGACCUUGGUGGUCAACCAUAAUCUUCUACAGGAGGUUCUUUUGCUAUACUCACCGAAGAGAUUCAACAGGUUCGAGACUUAGUAUCGGGUAUUCUAAAGGGACUUGGUGAUACAUUUGAGGGACCCUCUACAUGCGUUUCAAAGAAAGAAUUUCAAAAAUAUCUUGAUGACCAGAAGAAGCAGGGGAUCACCUUAUGUACCUGGAGAAAUCAUACACUGAUUUUUCCACGGCACACUGCGCCUUGAGUACUUUCGAUGCCAAGCUGACAAUUUCCCACACUAGGAUGAGAAAAAGGGAGAAGAAGAGAGAUAAAUUCUUCACCCGAAUGUGGAAGGGUGUGAAGGGGCUAUUGAAGGUUCUAAAGCCUCAAGAGUCAGUACCAUCGACCGAGAUGGAAGCUGCUGAUGAUGCUCCAGUGCAGUGGCCCGAAGAAGACAAGGAGGCUGAGAAUAGGGAUGAUGAGUCUGAGAGUGACGAGAGCACUUGAUGUAAUAUUCAAGGAGAACCUUCGACCAUUUUACUCUAUUCUGUUUAGUUGCAUUGGAGACAUUGCAACAUUUGUAGUUGGGGAAGGCUUUUUGUACAACUGUCGAUAUGGGUAGAUUGAUAUUUUAUUUUCAUUGUUCAUUAUGUCUACGAUGUAUUAAUAUUUCAUGUUUACUAGCUUCUUAUCCUUAGUUUUUUUUGUGCCGCGGUUCGUUUUCCGAGGAUGCCAAUUUCUUUUGAAACGAGUAUUUUUAGGUAACUUUUUGUACAGACUUUUUUCGAUGACGGAUAGCUAGGCGACUUUCUUAAGGGAAUUAGUCUUCUAUUUUAGAUUUAGUUUUAGUUAAUUUAGUAGAUUAAGUAGUAUGAGUUGUGGUUUGUGCCUGUUAGCCAAUUUGUGGCUUGCUUGGUACCAACAUAAUUUAAACCUUGGCAUAUAAAUUCUUAAUCUUUGAAAUAAAAAAUGAUUGAAGUGAUAAUCCUUGUUGUGACUUUUAGGUUCUAUUUUUGUCUCUUUGAUUUAUUAAAUAAUCUUUUGAGGCUAUAUAUGAAUUUCUUUGAGUUUAUUGGUUUCAAUUGGAUUUUGAAUUUAUAUUUCACGAGUUUGCAUGUGCCAUGUGUGGUGAGAUUUUUUGUGAGUUCUUUUGCAUUAUUUGUAGUCUAGAACUAGCCCGGGAUAUGCUUCAAAGUGAAAUCCUAGACUAAAUUGGUUUGAAAAUGAUGUUAAGCCUUCCUUAGACCGUUCUUGUGCCUUAAAUUUCCUACCCGUCCAUAUUUUUCAUAGUUAACCCCUUUUGAGCCUUCAACCCUGUCUUUGACAACCAUGUUAUGCAAUUUACCAUGUUGUUAUUAUUGAUCUAUCUUUUGGCACCCUACCUACCUAAGUGCCUCAAAAGUGCAACCAUAGGCUAAAAACCUACAUUUGGGGGUGAUGGUUUAAAAAUAUAAUUGAGAGACAUUGUGAUGUGGUAAUUAAAAAGUGAAACCAUGGGCUAAAACCCUACACUCCUUGUUAGCUUGAAAAAGAUCCAAAAAAAAAGAAAGAAAAGAAAGAAGAGAAUGGAAGGAAGAAUAAAAGGUUGUGAAUAAAGGGAAGAUUAGGUGGUGGAAUGAAAAAUAAAGAAAAGGGUGAAAACAUUUUGUAGGAAGUGUGCUUAUUGUUGCAAAUUGUAAUGCUUGGAGUUUUUGAGUAACUCUUACCCAAAUUAUAUCCUACCUUGACCAAAAGCCUACAUUACAACCAUUUAAGUCAUACUAGAUUUUGAACUAAUUGUGUCUACAUUAGUGGAGAAAUACAUGAAGGGCAAGCCUAUGACACUACUUGUGUGCAUUUGAACAUAUAAGUGUGUGAGAGAAACUUAAUCCUUUCUAUUUGAUAUCUCAUUUAUGUUUUGAAUUGCAUUUAUAAGCAUGAGAUUCUCUCUUAAGUGGUGAAUGCACAUGAAAUUUGAGUUGUGAAUUUAAUCCAAUUUUUUAUUGGGAGGAAUGAACAAAAAGAAUUAUUUUGUGAUAAUAAGGAAAAUGUUGAAGCUUUAGUGUCAUGACUUGAUUGCUACUUUGAUCAACGUGUCGUUUGAGCACUUGAAAUGAAAUGAACUUUGUGAGAAGUUGUUGCUAAGUCAUUUGUCUUAAUUUUUGGUACCAAUCAAAGUCAUGUGUUUGCGCUUAAAGUAUUUAUUUUUGACUUGGUAUGAUGUUGGUGCGCUAUUGAGUUGAUUACUUGGAAGGAGAUUGUUUAUGAUUUAAUUUGCUUGUGGACAAGUAAUAGUUUAAGUUUGGGGGUUUAAUAAGUUGGUAUUUUAUGAACUUAUCUAUUCUUUAAUAUUAGAAUUUUGCUAUGUUGAUUGAUAAAAUAGUGUAUUUAAUGUCUUUUACUUCUAUGUUACAGGUUUAUGUGAUUUAGAAGUGAUCGGGAAAGAAACAAAGUGAAAACAAGUCAAAAAAGAGUUGAAAUAAAGGAAACUGGAGAAAAGCCCCAGAUUUGGCAAAUGCAUACUGGGCUCCACAAAUAUGAAGUCAACUAGAUAGUCAACGUUCGCAAAUACGAACUCCUUCUUCGCAAUUGUGAAUACAUGUGAAGAAGGCCUAGUUUGCAAAAGCAAAGUUUGUGUCGCAAAUGCAAUGAUCAAGGGUAGAGUCUAGGUUUGCAAAUGCGAACCUUUCUUCGCAAUUGCGAACCACGAGGUUCAGUUCAGGGUAGAGUUAAAAUUUCACAUUUUCUGGAUCCCAAACCCACAAAUACACGACCUAGCUCAUUUUGGAAGAGAUCUUUGUCAAUCUUUGGCAGAUUUUAAAGAGCUUUGGAGCUAGGGUUUCUUACACUAAACUUGGGAGUUGAAUAUUUGAAGACUUUCGAUGAGAUUUUCUUACUCUUUUAACUCAUUUUUCCAAUUUCUUGAUUUGUUUUGAAUAUCUAAGUGUGUAAUAUUCAUUCCAAUACUUAUAUCUUGUUUAUGGGAAUAUUCAUUAUUUUUAGUUUGAAUUAAAUCGUUUGUUAUGCUUGUGUGUUGAAUGAUUUUUAUUAGUUAUGAAGUGACUUAGUACUUUUUUUUAAUUAUUCUUGUUCUUUAAUGUUUCCAAAGGGAUUAGCUAACCCUGAGACUUACCCAUUAACUUAGAAUUAAAUCUUGGAAAAGGAAAAUUCAUGGUUGGGAAAGAUUUAUUAAUAAGAACAUGAGGCAUUAACCCUCACUUUAUAGAUUCUACCCAGAGAUAUGAUCGAACUACUUGUAGCCACAUUCAGGUACACUUAAUCCUCUUAAUUGUUUUAGGGAUAAUUCAAUUAGGUAGUCUUGUUAGUCUUCGGAAGAAUAUAAUAUAGAAUCAUUAUCCGAGGCUAAUUAACAUAACUCGCUCAUAUUAAUAAAAUCAUAAAAUACAUCGGAUCGUUACUUGAGUGUAAUUUCCCUUGUAUCCAUGCUUGUAGCCAUUGAUCAUUUUACUUGCUUUCUAGGUUAGUUAGCAUUUUUGCAUUAGUUAAAAAUAUUUUCUCAAAAAUACCUAUUAGUGUUUGGCUUAGCACAAUAAGCAAUAAUUCUCUUACUUGCCUAAUCACCUACAUACUGUUCCAUAUGGGAAUCGACCCCAAGUCAUAGUUAGGUAUAUUUUUUUGCAUGCGACUAUGUGAGCUUACUCUUUGAGGAGUGAAUUUGGACAUCAUCAACAGAGUCAGGAAUAAAGAGGUUUUGAGGUGUAACGGCUCGGCCGGUUAUUUUGAGUAUAUUAGCCCCGUUUCCCCCAUUAGAUGCUUUACAUAUGUGCAUUUGUGAUUAUGGGAAUUGCCGGGGUGGUUGGUUUGGUUAUCGGAGAGGUUUGGAUUGGAUAGGGACACUUAAUCCCAAGGUUGGAUGCUUAAGUUGUAAGAUGUACCAAAGUUUGACUUUUAUAUAGAUGACCCCAUAAUGAUAUUUUGGUAGUUCCAAUAGGUUCGUAUGGCGAUUUUAGACUUAGGCAUAUGUACGUAUUUGGAGGUUCCUAGAUUGUUUUGGCUUGAAUUGGCGAAAGUUAGAAAGUUGAAGGUUUAGAAGGAUGAUAGGUUUGAUCGAGGGUUGACUUUUACGAUAUCGGGUUUGGAAAGUGCUUUCGGGAGUUGGAAUAGGUCCGUUGUUCCAUUUGGGACUUGCAUGCAAAAUUUGAGGUCAUUCCGAGUUGUUUAGGCUUGUUUGGUGUAAGUUUUAAUUUUUAAAUUGGGAUUAGUUCCUUAGUCUUGAAUUGAUGUUCGAUCCUUGGUUUUGAUGUUGUUUGGAGAGAUUUGAGGCCUCGAGUAGGUCUGUAUUAUGUUUUGGCAUUGGUUGGUGUAAUUGGAUGGUGUCCCGGGGGGCCUCAGGUGUGUUUCAGAUGGGUUUCAGACCAUUUCACCAUGUUUCGGAAUGCUGAUUGCUGAGUUCUGGUUUCCUUCUUUGCAAUCGCCACAAGGCUGUCGCGUUCGUGGAAGGUUGGAGUGGGCUGGGCAGUCUCCCUUCUACACAUUCGCCGUGGGGCUCCACGUUCGCGAAGCAGCUGGGAGCUGGGAGGAGUUUGGCCUACACGUUGGCGAGUUCCAGGCCACAUUCGCAUAGGUUAAGGUAUGUUCUUCAUCGUGUUCGUGACAGUGCAGACGCGAAGGGUGAUUUUUGGCCUUCGCGAUCACGAUGAGGGUCCCGCGAAUGCAAUGAAUAUGCUUGGGAGAUUAUUUAAGUACUCUAUUUCGAGGAUUUUGGUUAUGUUAUCAUAUUUUGAGUUAUAGAGGUCAGAUUUGGGCGAUUUGGGAGGGGAUUUUCACGAUUUGGAUUGGGGUAAGUAUUUUUGACUCGGGUUUAUUCAUUAUUCAUGAUUCCAACCUUUAUUUUAGUGAUUAUUUGAUGAAUUUAAAUGAAGAAAUUGGGGAUUUUAGUAAAAUAAUUCUAAAGUAAGAAUUGGUUAUUUGAGGUCGUAUUUGGAUGAAACACAUAUAUUUGGACUUGUAUUGGAAUGGAUGUUCAGAAUUUAUGAGUUUUGUUGGGUUCCGGGGUGCACGCCCAGGGUUGACAUUUUGGUAUGGCUUUGCAUAAUUGAAUCGAGAUCUUAACUUUAUUGUUUGGGCUUGUUUCCAAUGGCUUCUAUAGAUGUUAUUAAGUUAUUUUGGAUAGAUUUGAGCCGUCCAUAGGUUGAUUUUUGCGGGAAGGGAUUCAUAGAGUAUUGAUUUGGCUUGCUUAAUAUCUUACAUAAAUUUGAUUAAGACAGUAGUUUCCUGAGUUAUUUAUGAUAGCUAUGUGCUGUGGGUGGUGCACAUAUGUUGUAAUGACCCGACCAGUCAUUUUGAGAAUUAGCGUUCUGUUCAAUGUCUUAAGGUCUUGAGUAGCUCUGUAUUGUGUAUUAUGACUUGCGUGUGUGGUUGAGUUCGGCCUUCGGAUGAUUCGGUAUUGAUUUAGAACGGCGAUUCUUGUUUUAGAAGUUUAACCGGUAAGAGUUGAUCAGAGUUUGAAUUUUGUGUAGAAGACUCCAAAAUAUUUUUUGGAUGAUUUCAAUAGCCGUGUAUGGUGAUUGUGGACUUAGGCAUGCGCACGGAUUUGGAUUUGGAGGUCCGUAGGUUAAGUUGAUGCAUUUCGGCGAAAAAUUGAAAGGUUGAAGGUUUGGAAAGUUGAGUGGUUUGAUCGGGAGUUGAAUUUGGUUGAUAUAAGUGUCAGAUUGCGAUUCUGAGAGUUAGAUUAGCUCCGUUAUGUCAUUUGGGACUUGCACGCAAAAUUUAAGGUUAUUUCGAUUUGAUUUGAUAUGUUUUGGUGCGAGUUGUAGAAGUUGAAAGUUCAUAAGUUCAUUAAGUUCGAUUCGUUGUUUUGACAUUGUUUGAUGAUAUUUGAGGCCUCAAGCAAGUCCAUGUUAUGUUAUGGAACUGGUUGGUAUGUUAAGACGGGGUCUCGGGGGCCCCAGGGCCCCCGGGUGUGUUUCGAAUUAGUUUCAGAUCAAUUGGAUCAUAUUGGGUGAGGCUGGUUUGGGUAGAGUUCUGGUGUGGUCGCACCUGCGGACCAGUGGGUGCAGGUACGAUGGUUGCAGGUGCGGAGAUGAAGGCGCAGAAGCGAGAUGGCUAGGAGCUGGUGUUUUGCCCAUCUACGAUGUCAUUCCCGCAGAUGCGGUUUCGGAGGAGCGAAUUGGUACGCGCAGGUGCAGAAAUGAAGGUGCAGAAGUGAGAUGGCUAGGAGCUGGUGUUUUGCACAUCUGCGAUGUCAUUCUCGUAGAUGUGGUUUCACAGGAGCGAGUUGGUACGCGCAGGUGCAGACGUGAGCUGGGUUGCAACUCUCCGGAGGUGCAGAGCAUUUGUUGCAAAAGCGAAUGCGCAAGUGUGCUUCUUGGUUCGUAGAAGCAACACAACAAGUGCGAUGGGUCUCUCGCAGGUGCAAUUCUUGGGCUGAUAAGUGAAGACCGCAGAUGAAGUGAAUUGCUCGCAAAAGUGAGAGCGCAGGUGCGCAUAUUUGUCCACAAAUACGGAAGUGCUGGGCAGAAUGUUAAAAGUCGAGGGUUUGAUUAUUUCAUCACUUUUUGAGUUAGAGGCCUCGGUUUUAGGUAAUUGUGGAGGGUUCUCACGUGUUUGAUUGGGAUAAGUGUUCUUUAUCCGAAAUUGAUUAUAUUUCAUGAUUUCAUAAAUUUUUUUAUCAUUAAAUUAGUGAAUUGAAUGAAAGAAAAUGGGAAUUUUUGUAAAAUCUUUCAAAAAUAAAAAAUCAGGGUUUGAAGAGCGAUUUGAUAUCAAAAUUUAAUAAUUUGGGUAUAGUUGGACUUAUAUCGGAGUGGGUGUUCGAACUUUGUGAAUUUUGUUGGGUUCCAAGAUGUGAGCCCUAGGUUGAAUUUUUAGUUUUAAUUAAAGAUUGAAACUUUAUUAUCCGAAAUUAUUUUCUAUGAGUUUUAUUUAUGUUAUGAAGUUAUUUUGGAUAGAUUUGAGUCGUCCAAAGGCUGUUUCACAUGAGAAGGUCAUUUUAGAGUAUCGGUCUAGCUUUCUUGAGGUAAGUAUCUUGUCUAACUUUGUGUGGGGGAACUACCCCUUAGGAUUUGAGCCGUUUGUGCUAUUUGUGUCAUGUGAAAGCCGUGUACGCAAGGUGACGAGUACACACUCAGGCUUAAAUGUUCAAAUUGACCGGUCUAGACUCUCAGUUAUCUUUUAUGUACUUAUUUGGAAUUUUUAUCAUGUGUUAUAUCUUUUAUUCGUCAUAUCUACUAUCACAUGCUUUAUUUGAAGAUGUCGUUACAUGUCACAUUCUUUACUUGCCGAGUUUGCUCUUAUAUGCUUUAUUUGGAGUUGUUACCACUUUUACCAUUACGUGAUUUCUUUUAUCGUUCAGUUGCUCUUCGUUGAGAUUUUCGUAACAUGAUAUCCCUUGUUGCCGGUUUAUCCUCAUGCCUUUAGACAAAGUACUAGCUCGUGUCAUCUCUUUCAUUGUUAUCUUAAUUUACACUUAAGAAUCCGGAAUUGCCAUUUCAUGGAGGUACUUUCACCAUUGAGUUUGUCCUUAAACUAUUAAUUAGAAUUGAAGUUAUUGAGAGUCAUUAGUCUAUUUUACUUGAAGGUGUGUUUAAAGGAGGUGUUGUUGCUUGUUGAGUUACUUUUCCGUUCAUGUUGUUGUUAUUGAGAUUCUAUAUACGUUGUGUUGAGCCGUCGGCUAUUUGUUGUGAAAUUAUUGAUAUCGUUGAAUCUUUUGAAAGGUUGUGCCCUACGGGCACUUGUGAUAUGAGUUGAUAUGCUGUGGUGUUGUGAUGAUAACAUGUGUGAAUUGUUGUGUGGUUUGAUUGUCGUUAUGCGGAGUAUAAGGGUGGCAUUACACCGUUGUUUUUAUGCAGAGUAUAAGGGUGACAUUUCACUAUUGUUUAUAUUCAGGGCAUAAAUGUGGCAUCUCAUUAUUGUUGAAUGUACGGAGUGAUACGAGUGGCUAUUAUGUUAUUGUCCCGACGGAGUGAUAAGGGUGGCUAUUGCACGGAGUGAUACACUUACGAGGGGCUAUCAGAGAGACAAGGGUGGCAAUGCCAGGGAUGAUGUGUGAUGGUUUGGAGACAUUGUGUAGGUGAUUUUCGUGUGAUGGCGUGAUUUUCCUUGUGUUUGUCAUACACCUUGCGUGUCUUAUUUCGUUGUUUCGAUGAUCUAUUCAAUGUCCUUGAUAUUACUUAUCGACUUGGGCUACAGUAGUACACUCGCACAAGCAUACACUGUAGCAUGCCACUUAUACCAGCUCAUGAGUACGAAACUUGGCAUUAAUCUAUCAUGCCCAUGUGUUCUUGUAAUAUAUGUUUCAAUGUUGUUAUUGUGAGUCUGUGAUCAUUUCGUGCAGAUUGUGAUUGUAAGCGUGUGACCAUGCCAGGCAGAUUGUGAUUGUAAGCCUAUGACCAUGCCGGGCGGAUUAUGAUUGUGAGCCUGUGACCAUUCUAGGCGGAUUGUGGUUGUGAGCCUGUGAUUAUGCCAAAGAGAUUGUGAUAUUGGCACGUGAGUUUUCCGUGUGAUUGUGAUUCAAGAUAUGGGCACGAGGUGCCAUAAGUACAUGAUGAUGGGUUGAGACCCUUGACUUGUGACUAUGAGAUGAGGUAUCACAUAGUGAUUUCGUUGUGAAUCGUGUGUUAGAACAACUUGAUUAAUUGAUUGUUCUCUGUGUUACUUAUUUGGGUCCAAUGAUACUCCACGAUAUUCUUGUUGCUUUACUGUUUAUAUCACAUGUUGAUUUUGUUGCCAUUUACUGAUUUCUUCCUUCCAUUAUUAGCUUUACACCUUUAUACUGCACAAGUUAUCUUGUCUAGUGAGUGUCUUGACUUGUACCUCGUCACUACUCCACCGAGGUUAGCCUUGAUACUUACUGAGUAUCGACUAUCGUGUACUCAUACUAUACUUCUGCANNNNNNNNNNNNNNNNNNNNNNNNNUAUUUUGUGCAGAUCCAGGUGCUGCGGAGUCUGUUGAUUAUUAGAUAGCGGAUUAGAUAUCACUUUGGAGACUUCAAUAUAUACCUGUCGUAGCGUUCGCAGGCCUCGAAGUCACCUUCGGAAGUUAUUUUAUACAGUUUAAUUCUAUUCUGGAACAGUUGUGCUUCGAGAUUUUCUUUAGUGAACUCAGUAGAGCUUGUGUUACAGUACUACCGGUUUUGGGAUUGUUGGCUUUGUGUAGAAAUUUCUGUUUCAUAUUUGAUAGUUGUUGGUUUAAUUUUGCCAUUUAUUUAGUAAGUGUUAGGCUCACCUAGUUUUAAAGUCUAUGUGCUAUCACGACAUCCUACAGAGGAAAAUCGGGGUUGUGGCAAGUUAGAAUCAGAGCUCUAGGUUAAUAGGUGCUACGAGUCAUAAGCUAGCUUAGUAGAGACUUGCGGAUCGGUACAGAGACGUCUGUACCUAUCUUCGAGAGGCUACAAAACUAUUAGGAAAAAUCUCCACUUCUUUCAUUCUUGUCAUGCAUAUUUGUUGAUUUCGAUGUUUGAGCCUUUGUAUCUCUAUUCUCUUACAUAUCUUGAGGACACGCGCUACCAAAUCAGCUAAGUAGACACUCGCGCCCCCUGCUAGAGUCGCAAGAGGCCGGGGCCGAGGUAGAGGCUGAGGAGAGGCAUGCGCAGAAGCUAGAGCACCUGUCAAAGCAACAAUUGAGUAGCCGCCCCUAGCUCCUUUUGGGGGACAUACACCAGAGGCGCAUGUUGUUUCCCCCAAACUUCAGGAGACUUUAGCACACUGAGCAUAUUUUUUACAUUGGCUCAGGCGGGAUUGAUAUCCGUUGUACCAGCUACUUCGCAGAUUGGGGGAAGAGCUCAGAUUCCCACCGCCCGUACUCUAGAGAAGCGGGCUUACAUUGGUUAGGUUUCGGGUAUGGUGCCGGUACAACCUGUUGGUCCGGUUCAGCCUGAGGUUAGGCCAAGGGCAUCGUAGGAGUAGUAGAAGAGGCUUGAGAGGUUCAAGAGUUAUAGUCCACCUACUUUCAAUGGAAUAACUACCGAGGAUGCACAUGGAUUUAUAGAGAAGUGUCACUGUAUUCUCCGCACCAUGGGUAUUGUGGAGGUGAGCGGAGUUGCUUUUACUAAAUUCCAGUUGUCGGGGGCAGCGUAUCAGUGGUGGCAGGUUUAUGAGGAGGGUAGACCAGCCGAUGCAGCACCACCCACUUAGGCUUAGUUUUGAGCGAUGUUCAUGAAUGAGUUUUUUCCCCAGACCCUCCGAGAAGCGUGGUGUGUAAAGUUUGAGCAACUGCAUCAUGGCACCAUGACGUUGUCAGAAUAUGCCAUUAAGUUCAAUGAGUUAUCCCGCCAUUCACCUACUUUGGUUCCUACAGUUAGAGAGCGGGUCUGCAGAAUCAUUGAGGGUCUCAGUUAUGAUCUUAGAUUCUGUAUGGCUUGGGAGUUGGAGACUGAUAAUCCAUUUUAGCAGAUGGUGGAGAUUGCUAGGAUGUUAUAGCGUAUUCGGGAUGAGGAGAGGAAUGCUAAGGGGACCAAGAGGUCUCGAGGUUCUUGAUGGUUAAGUGGAUUCUAGUCUUUAGCUAUGACUCUUCAUGGCUGAGUCUCGGGCAGUCGGUCAGCCCAGUCCGCACUUCAGACUACUCCUGAUGAUCCAGUUAGUUUUUUUAGUGCACCACCGGAACGGGGUUCCUACAUUGGUUAUUCUAAUUAUCCGACACAGACUCAAUACGAGCAUCCACGCCUGCAGANNNNNNNNNNNNNNNNNNNNNNNNNCUCCAUUGUAGUUGCUAUUCCACCCGCACAUCCAGUUAGGGGUAGAGGACAGACGGGUAUACAGUGUCUAAAUUUCCAACAAGUAAAGUAUGAACAUCAGAGGCCAGGUGGUUUGCUCCAGAGGCUAUAGAUUCCUGAAUAGAAGUGGGAGCGUAUCACUAUAAAUGUUGUUGUUGGUCUUCCACGAACUCAGAAGAAGUUCGACGCAGUUUGGGUCAUUGUGGACAGGUUGACCAAGUCAGCACAUUUCAUUCUAGUGGCAGUCACCUAUUAUUUUGAGCGGUUAGCUCUGAUCAAUAUUAGCGAGGUCGUUCGUAUUCACAUCGUGCCCAUGUCUAUCAAUCCUGAUAUAGGUACGCAGAUCACCUCACACUUUUUGAGGGCCAUACAACAUGAGUUAGGCAUGCGGGUUGAGUUGAGUACAACAUUUCAUUCCUAGACGGACGGGCAGUCCGAGCACACUAUUUAGAUAUUAGAGAAUAUGCUUCGCGCUUGUGUUAUGGAUUUUGGGGGUUCUUGGUAUCGAUUUUUGUGGAGUAUGCCUACAACAACAACUACCAUUUAGCUUUCAGAUGGCCCCUAUGAGGCAUUAUAUGGGAGACAAUUUUGUUCACUAGUUGGAUGGUUCGAGCCGGGAGAGGCUCGGUUAUUGGGUAUCGAUUUGGCUCAAGAUGCCUUAGAUAAGGUCAAAAUUAUUUUGGAUCGAUUUCAUACCACUCAGUCAAGGCAGAAGAGUUAUGCGGACUGUAGAGUUCGUGAUGUUGCAUUCAUAGUUAGAGAGAGGAUAUUGCUCCGGGUUUCACCCAUGUAGGGUGUGAUGAGGUUCGGAAAGAAGGGAAAGUUGAGCCCAAUUAUAUUAGACCCUUUGAGAUUCUUGAGAGAGUGGGUGAGAUGGCUUACAAGUUUGCACUGCCACCUAGUUAAUCAGCAGUCCAUUCGGUGUUCCAUGUGUCUAUGCUCUGGAAGUAUCACGAUGAUCCAUCCCAUGUGUUAGAUUUCAGCUUAGUCAAGCUGGACAAGGAUUUGACUUAUGAGGAGGAGCCGGUGGCUAUUCAAGCUUGGCAGGUCCAACAGUUGAGGUCUAAGAGUUAUCCUUCAGUUCGAGUACAGUGAAGAGGUCAGCUGAUCGAGGCAGCCACGUGGGAGUCCGAGUCGGGCAUGCAGAGUAGAUAUCCAUACAUUUUCACCAUCAAAGGUACCUUUCAAUGUCCGUUCGAGAACAAGCGUUUGUUAUAAAGGUGGAGAAUUUGAUGACCUAAUAGGUCAUGUAUAGUUUUACCCUUCAUUUCUGUGCUCCGAUACCUCAAAUAGCUCUAUUUAUCCUUCCUCGAUUUACGUGCACACUCCGUAUCUAUUUUCAAAAAAUGUUUAUGUGAAAAAUCUAUGAAAAAGUGAAAUUUAGCCUUAAAAACUCAUUUGAGUUGACUACUAUCAGCGCUUUGAAGGUCCCGGUGGGUCUGUGUCAUGAUUUGGGAUGGACAUAUGCCUGGAAUCGAAUUCGAAUGUCCCUAACUUGACUUAACGUAAUUUGUUGAAAACUAGAAGUUUAAAGGUUUAAAGAAUUUCUAAGGUUGACUUUAUUACUAUCAGGUUUAGAUUUUGAUUCUAGAACUUGAUAUAUGUUAAUUUCAGUAUUUAAGACUUAUCUGCAAAAUUUGGUGCAAAACGGAGUUGAUUUGACGUGAUUCGGAAGUCCGGCUGAAAAAUUGAAAUUUCUUAAGUUUCUUUAAAAAUUUCAUUUGUUUUGGUGUCCGAUUCAUAGUUUUGGGUGUUAUUUUGGUAUUUUGAUCGCACAAGUGAGUUUGUAUGAUGUUAUUACACUUAUGUGCAUGUUUGGUUUGUAGCCUGAGGGGAUCAGGUGAGUUUCAAAUAGGCUACAAAGUGAUUUUGGACUUAGAAGAAUAGCUGAUGCAUUUUUGUUUCUGGUGUUACCUGUAGAUCUCGCAAUUGCGAGGUCCGGCUCGCAAAUGCAUGCCUCACUUUUGCGAACAAUACUUCGCAUUUGCGAGCAUGGGUUGGUUGGGGUGGACUCGCAAUAACAAGGAAAAUAUGUGCAUUUGCGAACUUGCUGCUGCCGCUUUUGCGAAGGAAGAGUCGUAUUUGCGACUCAGUGUGCACUGGGCUACCUUCGCAUACGAGUGGCAUGGGUUCACAUUUGUGACUAGAACAUCGCAUUUGCGAUGACUGACCGUCUGAGAAGGGUUCGCAUUUGUGACCUCAUUCUCACAUUUGCAAUGUUUGUAAUUGAGAACAAGAUAUCGCAAUUGUGACAUCUGCAACUGGUAAAAGAGGGAAAAAAAGAGAUUUAGCUCAUUUCUUUAAAACUCUCAACCCUAAACACCCUAGAGGUGAUUUUCCAAAGAGAAUUUCUUCGUAAGUUCAUUGGUAAGAGACUUUUAAUAUACUUAUUUUCAAUUACGCAUUACAUUUCAUGAGAUUUCAACAUCCAAUCUAGGAUUUUCAUGGUAGAAAUUAGGGAUUUGCAUAGAAUUAGGGAUUUUUGUAAAUAUUUGAUUUAGACCUCGAAUUGAGGUCGGAUUUCGAAUUAAAUUACAUAACCAGGCUCGAGGGUGAAUGGGCAUUCGGGUUUUGGUCCUAUUUUUUAUUUUGACCAAGUGGGCCUGAGGUUGACCUUUUUAAAAAAUGAUGUAAAUUGAACCUCUUUCAUUCGUGGGUAGUUCCUAAAGCUUAUUUUGAAUCGUUUGGUCAAUAAUUUGCUAGAUUUUAUUGGUUUGGAGGCUUGUUUGAAAGGCAAGGCCGUGGUUGAGCUUUGAGUUGAUUGCAGAGUGAGGUAAGUGUUGGAUCUAACCUUGUUUUCAGGGAAUUAAGGAUCCCUGGACAACAUGUUAUGUGAAUUACGUGUGAAACGGCGUAUAUGCGAGGUGACGAGUGUAUAUGCGCCGUUAUAUUACUUGCUUCAUAUUUUUAUUGCUUUCUAGUAUAUCUUGUUUCAUGCCUUAAUUGCUACAUGCUUAUUUAAUUUCCACACCGUAAUUACUACUUGCCAUUUAGCAUUUCUUGUAUUAAAUUGUCCAUCCCCUCCAUAAUUCCAUGCUUAUUUGCUACUUGUCUCUAUUUGCUUCCCUUACAUAUCUAAUUUGUCUUAUGCCUUGUUUGCCUUAUAGUUUCAUAUUAAUUAUUGCCUUCAUUGAUGUAGUUUCACUUAUAUUAAUUGUUAAAUGGUAGAUACCGUUGAGUUGGUAAAGUUGAGACAUCUGAAUAGUUCGAGUCUCUUUGGUUAUCAUGUUAUUCUCUAUUGCUCGUACAUUUGUUCUCUUGAUGUAUGAUUUCUUGUAAAUCUUGGUUAUUGAGUUACUACUUUUAAUUUAAAUUAUUUGUGGAGCGGGUUGCACGCCGCAACAAAAAUUGAAAGGAAAUGAAUUGAACAGGCGCAAUAAGGACGAACUAUGAUAUUGACAGAUGACUAUAUUGUGGGGAUCGGGUUGCGUGCCACAACAGAUUGUUUAAAUUUUAUAUUGUGGGGUCUGGUUGCACGUCGUAACAUGUUGAUAAAUGUUAUAUUUGUUGGACGGUUGUUGAGGUGAGUUAUAUCACUUGUCAUUUGGGACUCUCUGUUAGUUGGUGUUGAGUUCGCUGAUAUAAAUUACCUACUUUACUUCUAUUUUUGUCUUUUAUGUUCUUAUUAUAUCUACAUCGUACAAGUUAAUAUAAGUGACCCGCCUUAGCAUCAUCACUAUUUCGCCGAGGUUAGGCUCGAUACUUAAAGAGUACAUAGGGUCGGUUGUACUCAUACUACACUCUGCACUUCUUGUGCAGAUACCGGAAUUGGUCCCAGCGGCGUUGCGUAGACUUGCUCGGAUCCAGCUAUUCAGAGGAGACUUGAGGUACAACUGCUCAGCGUCCGCAACCCUGAAGUCCUCUUAUACUUCUUUUAGUUGUUUAUUUUAUUCAGACAGUGAUGUUUAUUUCAGACCUUUAUAUGUACUAUCUUUGACGCUUAUGUAAUUGUGACACCAAUUCCGGGAUUUGUAUUUGGAUUUUGUCACUUAUUUAUUUAUUUACCUUGUUUCAGGCUAUUCAAUUUCUUUAUUGUUAUCGUAUUUGAAAUUUAUUAAAAAUGGUUAAUAACUAUAUCUAACAUCGGCUUGCCUAGCAAGUGAAAUGUUAGGCACCAUCACGGUCCCUAGGGUGAGAAUUCCGGGUCGUGACAAUGGAUCAUGCACAGAAUUUGAGGAUCAUGCUUCUUACUUUGAGGGAAAAGAAGCUAUAUGCUAAAUUCUCUAAGUGUGAGUCUUGGUUAGACUCGGUGGCAUUCUUGGGCCACUUGAUGUCCGGUGAGGAGAUUAAGGUGGAUCCGAACAAGAUUAAGGCAGUUCAUGUUGCCGAUCAAUUUUAACCCUCCCCUUCUAAAUUAAAUUUUUUACACUUAUUGAUCAAUAAUGAAUGUAGUGGAAUAUUUUUAAAAAUUGAUAACACCUAUUUUAUCAAAAUAUAAAUUAUAUACAACAACAUACUCAGUAUUAUCCCACAUCGUGGGGUCUGGGGAGGGUAGUGUGUACGCAGACCUUACCCCUACCUUGUGAGGAUGUAAUAUUAAUUCUAUAAUCAAUAAUAAUCUUGUCUUAAAUAUUUACAAAUUGUAUUACUUCUACUGUUUUAAUUAAUUAAAACUAGAUUUCCUAGUCUUAUAAACAAGUAUUACAAUUAUUUCAAUAAUCUUGUCUUAAACUUUAAUUAAUCAAAUAGUUACUUUUCAUAAUUAAAAAGAAAAGUACUACGAUUUUAAUUAUUUAAUACUAACUAAUUAUAGUAACUAAUAAUACAUUUGUUAAUUAUACUUUAUUAUAUUUUAUUAGAAUUAAUUAAGUCUAAUUAAUUUAAUUAGAAAAAGGGUUAAAACUUAAAAGUAGGCUAUAAUUGCAAUUGAUUACUUUAAUCCAGUGACCAUGGCUUAAAUUAAAUGCUAGCCCACUACCCAAAAUAUUAGCCCAAAAAGUACAGGCCCAACACGUUUUACCCGGUUUGGCAGCCCCAUUACCAUCCUAUUUGAUAUGCCAUCCGCUUUCAUCCAAUCACCACACGCCACGUCACCCUUCCAAAAACUCACAGAAGAAACACACGUCAUCUGGACAGUUGAUCUAAAUCAUCAACGGUUCACAGUCAAUCCCAACUUUUUCUUUAUUUUAAACAUUUCCGAUGUUUUAUCUCAACCGUUGGAUCCAAAUGAUCCAACGACCAUCAAUUUAUCCGUAUUAAACCUUUUUCCCCAUUUUUAAUCUCCAAAAAUCUAAAGUCGUUGAUCAAACUGAUCCAAUGGCUACCCUCCAGUCUCUCGUUAUAACUAAGAGACUAACCUAAACCCUAAUUAUUUCAUCCAGUACCGGCCGCCUCUCUUUCCCCUUCUUCUUUCUUUUCUCUCAUCUCACAUAUCCCAUCAAUCACUGACCCUUUUAUAAAUUCGUGCAUGGUCACUCAAAAUCGAACCAAGCAUUCAUCCUGUCCCUUCCAACAGUGAAUCUCGCCGUUGUUUUCUCAUUUUCUCACUUCAAUUUGAAUCCCAAACCCCGACACCCUAGACCAAUAAAUGAAAAUGUUAAAGUUUCAUGAUUUCAUUUCCUGCUGUUCAAAUCAACACAUGCAAGCUAUAAAUCCCCGAGGAUAUAGACUGCAUUAUCAUGACUCUUGAUCUAGAGGUCAAACGUAGUAACCUCAGGACAUGGGCUUGAUCGAUAGUCCUUCUGUCUUCAACGGUCAAUUUUCUUCAAGGUAAAAGCUCCACUCUGAUUUCCCCUCUAUUUUCCUUCUAUUUUCCCCUUUGUUAUUGUCAGCCUUUAAUAGUCACACCCCAUUAUCUCUUUGAGUUCGGCGAAAGCCUAAGGCUUCAUUGCCACUAUAAAUAGAGCCUUUAAUGUCUCACCAAACUCACAGACACACACUGAAGGAAGAAACUACCAAACCCUAAUAAAAUACUAUAUGUUAAAUUCUUUGAAUUCUUUCUCUAAUUUCUUUUCAUUCUUUCACUUCUGCCCGAGUUAAAUCACUGUGAGUUGAUUGUGAGAUUAAGCUCUUAAACGGCUAGUGAUUGUCUCUACUUGGUUUGCUACUUCGAAGAAGGUCAGUAAACACUCACCCCCUCUUUAUUCUUCAGUUAUUCAUGAAUUAUCAUGUAAUUCCUUGUCUGAUAUUAUCUCUAUUAGUUGCCCGCUAUUUCGCCCUUCAUGAUGUUCAUUAGUAAACAUGUGACUUUUCUGUUGUGUUCUACUCUUGUGUUAUUCUUGUUCUAGUUAAAGAUGCUUUCUUGAUAAUUAUGUUUAUCUAUGUGGUGUUGCUAAAUCAGUGUUUUAUGAUGGUUGUUGGAUUCUGUUUUUCAUGACUUAGCUAAUUGAAAUAAUUUUACAUUAUUGUUAUCCUUGUAGGCAGUCCUGUUGAUCCCUUAUGUUAGUUGAACUAAACCCUAUGUUGGUGGCUAUAUGUGGCCUACAUUAUGCUGAUUGAGUAACAACUAUACUUAUAUUGUCAUGCUGAUUAAGUUGAUUGAAUAAUGUUCUUAAACUUUUCCUAAUAUCCUAUUUAACUAGCUAAGAUCUUUAUACCUAUAUCAUUAUGUUGUCUUAAUCCUCAUGCCUAUAGUGUCAUGUUGAUUUGGUUUAGUACAUUAAAUGACUCUCAUUAAUGGUCUUGUUCUUGUUAUCCUAUUUAUAUGUUUGCUUAACUAGGUGACUCUAGUUGACAACUUGCUCAUGAUACUAUGUUGUUAUGCACAGUCAAGGUAGAAUGGCUCACGUGUGCUUGCCAUGAUAACUUGAAUAAAGGAAAUCAUGUGGUAAACUUUGUUGGCAUGAGUUACUUUAAAGUUCUAUAGUAAACAUGCUUGCUUGCCUAAAAUGGUAACUUGUUGUUUUUUCUUGUCCUGCCUUGGUCAAUUUUAAAAUGAAUGUCUUCUCUUAUUAUUUCAUGACCAUUUGGUAGUGCUGUCUAGAUGACCCUCAAUCAUGAACCUAAGUGGUGCUAGUUUUGAUAAUUUGAAAGUUUGAUGGACUGUGCAUUAUCAUUAGAUACCAUCCCUGCUACGUUUCUAUGAGAUUAGAGUUGACCUUUCUAUUUAUGUUAAUGUCUCUGUUGUCCUAGUUAAUUGGUAUCCCCCUUUGGAAUGGUGUGUAUGGCCAUUAGCACAUGUGCUUAAUGUAAUGAAGUUCUAACUAUGUGCAUACUUAGAAGAAUUGUUCUGAAAGCUGCUAGAAUGCUCUAUAACCUGCUCUAGUGAUUUGAACCUACUUGAGGAAUAUUCUAAAGUAUCAAACCUUUAGUGAAGUUAAUAAAUAAGUGUAUGUUUAUCUUUGUCAACUGCUAAAUGCUUUAAACUACUUAAUAUGACCUUUCUGAAGCUGAUUUUGUAAGUAGCAUAUUAAAGCUUACCUACAGGAGUACAUAGUCAGUCAUUUGUGUAUGAUGACCUUUCUUAAGUGUGAUUACUCGGUGAAUGACAUGCCAUAUGGAAUGACUAAGACUUAACAUUCAAACCUUCCAAGUUGUUAAUACUUUGGAAUUUCAUGUAUGUUUGGCAAUGAUCAUAGUUUAGAGCUCAGAUGUGUUAAUCAUUGGCUAUUAGUGACUUUGUAUUCCAGUGAUGACUUCAUUUUAUAUAAUAGUUGCCUGACGUGAACUAUUGAUGCCACUGUGUGAUUAAACCCCCCUUGAAUGUGUUAUGGAACUUUUUGUACCUUUGGUGGUGUGUCUUAUGUUGGCUGUAUAAAGCUGCUAUUUGGUUGAAAUGCCAUGUUGACGUCUGUUUGUGCUUAAACAUCCGAAGAAGAGCGAGGUUCAAUGCUUAAGGGUAUUUUAGUGUGAGCUAGACUUUAUGAUUAAGGAAUGCCUCUCCGGCACAAGAACUGCUCGGAGUCCAUGAGACUCUCAUGAAUUCUGAAGUAUCAGGGAUUCAUAGGGGAACCAUAUAAAUAAAUACGGUUUACUCUAAGCCCAUACUCAUUGACGUCGACUAAUCUUCAUAUGAUUAACCCAAUGAAAUUUGACUUUGCUAUAUUCUUUAGAUCCUGUUCUUAUUAAUUAUAACUUUAUCUUACUUCACCUUUUAUAUUUACAUAUGCUAAUUAUUCUUUUCUUCUUUUCUUUGUAUGAUCACUGGGUCCAUUGAGUUCAUCGAUAACUUAGGCCCAAAUUCAGGGAACUGGGCCGCUUCCUGAUCACUUGCUAAAAUAUGUUGCUGCUUUAAGUCAAUCUGGACCUGGAUGCUUUGUCAGCCCAAUAGAAGAGUCCAACCUUCCUUCGCUUUAUCUAAUUAAUUGCUGUUGAUUCUCGUUUUGCUCAUAUGCAUGUAUGUCUUUGAAAAAACUAAUGUUGUUAUAGGAUAUUCGUUGCUAUCUUGAUUAUUUAGGUAGAAUUUAGGAAAAUCAAAUCUAAUAUAGAAAAUGUAAUUGUUAAUUCAAAGGUUAAACAUUUCAAACAACCUUAACACUUUUGAAAUCUAAACGUUCUAGAAACUAAUUAUUUUGGCAACUAAUCUUUCUUUUGCAUAUCCUUUAACGAGUUUUGUUUUUGUUUUAGGCAUCAACUAAACCCGGAUGAAUUUAAAAGGAAACAGAACUUGAACAAGUCUAAACGGAAACAAAUCCUCCAAAAGGUCUUCAAAAUGAAUCAUAGGCAAUUGAACCGUUUCAAAACAAAAGAGGCAAACUAUGUUGUUUUAGAAAAAACCAAACACCCUUUGAAAAUAUAUGGAUUUUUUUGCCAAAAACAAC